This 730-nucleotide ribosomal RNA is filed under the name uncultured bacterium. RNAcentral describes it as "bacterial SSU rRNA". It matches the Rfam family "Bacterial small subunit ribosomal RNA", at positions 8 to 755 of the family's 1533-position model. The record is from RNAcentral.
AGAGUUUGAUCAUGGCUCAGGACGAACGCUGGCGGCGUGCUUAACACAUGCAAGUCGAGCGAUGAAGCUCCUUCGGGAGUGGAUUAGCGGCGGACGGGUGAGUAACACGUGGGUAACCUGCCUCAUAGAGGGGAAUAGCCUUUCGAAAGGAAGAUUAAUACCGCAUAAGAUUGUAGUUUCGCGUGAAACAGCAAUUAAAGGAGUAAUCCGCUAUGAGAUGGACCCGCGUCGCAUUAGCUAGUUGGUGAGGUAACGGCUCACCAAGGCGACGAUGCGUAGCCGACCUGAGAGGGUGAUCGGCCACAUUGGGACUGAGACACGGCCCAGACUCCUACGGGAGGCAGCAGUGGGGAAUAUUGCACAAUGGGGGAAACCCUGAUGCAGCAACGCCGCGUGAGUGAUGAAGGUCUUCGGAUUGUAAAACUCUGUCUUCAGGGACGAUAAUGACGGUACCUGAGGAGGAAGCCACGGCUAACUACGUGCCAGCAGCCGCGGUAAUACGUAGGUGGCAAGCGUUGUCCGGAUUUACUGGGCGUAAAGGGAGCGUAGGUGGAUAUUUAAGUGGGAUGUGAAAUACUCGGGCUUAACCUGAGUGCUGCAUUCCAAACUGGAUAUCUAGAGUGCAGGAGAGGAAAGUAGAAUUCCUAGUGUAGCGGUGAAAUGCGUAGAGAUUAGGAAGAAUACCAGUGGCGAAGGCGACUUUCUGGACUGUAACUGACACUGAGGCUCG